CUUUAUUUUCUUUGCUCUCCUCUCUCUCUACCUCUCCCCUCUCUCCUUACCGUCUCCGCCCUACUAUCGCCCAUCUCCACUGGCCGAAAAUCGUCACCACCGGCUGGCCACCUCCAAUCACUCCCAAAAUUUCAGCAUAUAAUCUCCACAACCUAUUCUUUUCAUAUGUCCAAACCAAAUCCUUAAAAAAAAUCCUUCAAAUUUCAUGAAUAGUAAAUCUAAGAAGCCCAACUUGUCACUUUUUUCUUCAUCUUAAAUUCGUGAGAUUUGAGCCAUAUUUACCCCCAACACCUAUAUACACGGACAAAGCUCGAGGAGGACUAUUGUUUAACGUUGGUCUCAAGCCGAAAAUACGAUAAACAUUUUCCGACGAAACUUCCGUCCACCACCGAACUUCCACACCCUCCUUCAAUUUUCCUCCCCGACUCUUGAGCGUUCUUUCCUUUGUGAUACGAUGAUGGUGCCAAGGCUUUGGUUUCAAGGAUGGCUGAACCAUCAUCUAUCAUUAAGAAAAGUGUGCUCGAAGGUCGGAACCGUUGCCUCGAGUAGUGGUUUACAGACAGUCAUUUCACCUGAAACUUUGGGGGGAAAAAUAGCUUAAAGAUUCUACUUUUACUGUUAGCAAGUUAAACUGAUUUUACUUUUCUUUGUAAAUAUUUGAUAUGUAGUCUGGUUCUUUUAUUUAUAAUGAUCAAGUGCUUAUUUAUAUUUUGAAGUUGAGCUUGUUCCUGGGGUGAAAUAGUAUAGUUUUCCAUGGCUCAAGUUGUUACUUAAUUUCCCGAACUUCAAGUUUUUUUAAUGAUUAAAUAAAUAUUCAUGCUCAUAUUAAAUGACUAAAGUUUCUAGUGUCAAGGCAACUUGUCUUUUAAAAAAUACAACAAUAAUUGUUGUCAUCAAAAUUUUAGUUAAACAAACAAAACAAAAAAUCUAAGGUCAUGUGUGUUAAACUUAUUAAGAAUGUAAUCUCUGCAAGUUGGCGUUCAAGUUCUAGAAAUUCAUGGUGCAUAUGUUAGUCUGUUGUCCAAACUAAAAUCAAUGUUAGCUACUCUUUUAUUAAGAAUGUGGCGUUUCUUUCCAUGUGAAGUGUUUAAAUCUUUUGAUUUUGGACUUCUUUAGUUUUUUUCUCUUUUCUUUAUUUGGAGGAACCAUUGUUGGAUCAAAGUCUAUUAUUUAAAUCCCUUUGACCGUUGACCAAGCAUAUGUGACAAAAUAAUAGUUAAAAUGGAUAAAGUGAGUGUAAUUGGAUAAUGAGCGUGAAUAUGAAUAUUUUGAACUAGAAAUAAUUAAAAUAGGAAAAAAAAAUUAUUAGAAUAAGAAUGAAUAAUAAUUGUAGCAAAAAUCUGAGGCUAUGAUGAUAAUUUUUUCUUCUGUCUCUGAGCAAAUUGAUUAGGGCAAGGGAACAAUCGGAGCCGUAACUUGGCGGGGCGACCCGGACGGUGACGACAUGCAACCGGUGUUUGCAGCCAUGGCGGUGUCUCCAAUCUCUUGCCUUGUCUUCAAUCUUAUAGAUCUGAGCCUCAAUUGGAAGGUUAUUUUCUUAAGUGCAAACCUACAGGCUCUUUUCCGUUAAAUUUUGAAAUUCGGAGGUGAAAACCAACAACCCUUGUUCCGCCAUUGAUUUUCCUCCAUUUUCAAUCUCUGUUCCGCCAUUGAUUUUCCUCCAUUGUCAAUCUCUAUUCCGUCGUUGAUUUUCCUCCAUUUUCAAUCUCUGUUCGGCCAUUGAUUUUCCUCUAUUUUCAAUCUCUGUUCCGCCAUUGAUUUUCCUCCAUUGUCAAUCUCUAUUCCGUCGUUGAUUUUCCUCCAUUUUCAAUCUCUGUUCGGCCAUUGAUUUUCCUCUAUUUUCAAUCUCUGUUCCGCCAUUGAUUCUCCUCUAUUUUCCCAAAAAAAAAAAAA
Nicotiana tabacum (common tobacco) is the source of this 1893-nucleotide non-coding RNA. The record is from RefSeq and is a predicted model, not a curated record. Lineage: Eukaryota; Viridiplantae; Streptophyta; Magnoliopsida; Solanales; Solanaceae.